UACGUAGGGGCUAGCGUUAUCCGGAAUUACUGGGCGUAAAGGGUGCGUAGGUGGUUUCUUAAGUCAGAGGUGAAAGGCUACGGCUCAACCGUAGUAAGCCUUUGAAACUGGGAAACUUGAGUGCAGGAGAGGAGAGUGGAAUUCCUAGUGUAGCGGUGAAAUGCAUAGAUAUUAGGAGGAACACCAGUUGCGAAGGCGGCUCUCUGGACUGUAACUGACACUGAGGCACGAAAGCGUGGGGAGCAAACAGGAUUAGAUACCCCCGUAGUCCCUGAGCGGG
This 280-nucleotide ribosomal RNA is filed under the name uncultured prokaryote. Its description in RNAcentral is "partial 16S ribosomal RNA". It matches the Rfam family "Bacterial small subunit ribosomal RNA", at positions 524 to 803 of the family's 1533-position model. The record is from RNAcentral.